RNAcentral lists this transfer RNA (66 nucleotides) under Calanus sinicus. RNAcentral describes it as "tRNA-Gln". The record is from RNAcentral. Lineage: Eukaryota; Metazoa; Arthropoda; Copepoda; Calanoida; Calanidae.
UAUGUAUUAGUGUUUAGCAUUGAAAAUUUUGAGUUUUUAGGAAGUAGUGAAAACUACUAUAUAUAU